This 253-nucleotide ribosomal RNA is filed under the name uncultured bacterium. RNAcentral describes it as "partial 16S ribosomal RNA". It matches the Rfam family "Bacterial small subunit ribosomal RNA", at positions 524 to 776 of the family's 1533-position model. The record is from RNAcentral.
UACGAAGGGGGCUAGCGUUGCUCGGAAUGACUGGGCGUAAAGGGCGCGUAGGCGGCGGCCAAAGUCAGGCGUGAAAUUCCUGGGCUCAACCUGGGGGCUGCGUUUGAUACUUGGUUGCUUGAGUGGGGAAGAGGGUCGUGGAAUUCCCAGUGUAGAGGUGAAAUUCGUAGAUAUUGGGAAGAACACCGGUGGCGAAGGCGGCGACCUGGUCCUUUACUGACGCUGAGGCGCGAAAGCGUGGGGAGCAAACAGG